GGGGAAUCUUGCACAAUGGGGGCAACCCUGAUGCAGCGACGCCGCGUGAGCGAUGAAGCCCUUCGGGGCGUAAAGCUCUUUCGACCGGAACGAUAAUGACGGUACCGUAAGAAGAAGCACCGGCUAACUACGUGCCAGCAGCCGCGGUAAUACGUAGGGUGCGAGCGUUAAUCGGAAUUACUGGGCGUAAAGCGUGCGCAGGCGGUUUUGUAAGACAGAUGUGAAAUCCCCGGGCUUAACCUGGGAACUGCGUUUGUGGCUGCAAGGCUGGAGUACGGCAGAGNGGGGUGGAAUUCCACGUGUAGCAGUGAAGUGCGUAGAGAUGUGGAGGAACACCGAUGGCGAAGGCAGCCCCCUGGGCCUGUACUGACGCUCAUGCACGAAAGCGUGGGGAGCAAACA
This 401-nucleotide ribosomal RNA is filed under the name uncultured bacterium. RNAcentral describes it as "bacterial SSU rRNA". It matches the Rfam family "Bacterial small subunit ribosomal RNA", at positions 356 to 774 of the family's 1533-position model. The record is from RNAcentral.